This 253-nucleotide ribosomal RNA is filed under the name uncultured bacterium. RNAcentral's name for it is "partial 16S ribosomal RNA". It matches the Rfam family "Bacterial small subunit ribosomal RNA", at positions 524 to 776 of the family's 1533-position model. The record is from RNAcentral.
UACGGAGGGGGCUAGCGUUGUUCGGAAUUACUGGGCGUAAAGCGCGCGUAGGCGGACCUGCAAGUCGGGGGUGAAAGCCCGAGGCUCAACCUCGGAACUGCCUUCGAUACUGCGGGUCUCGAGUCCGGGAGAGGUGAGUGGAAUUCCUAGUGUAGAGGUGAAAUUCGUAGAUAUUAGGAAGAACACCAGUGGCGAAGGCGGGUCUCUGGGCAACAACUGACGCUGAGGAGCGAAAGCGUGGGGAGCGAACAGG